RNAcentral lists this ribosomal RNA (435 nucleotides) under uncultured bacterium. Its description in RNAcentral is "bacterial SSU rRNA". It matches the Rfam family "Bacterial small subunit ribosomal RNA", at positions 29 to 507 of the family's 1533-position model. The record is from RNAcentral.
AACGAACGCUGGCGGCAGGCUUAACACAUGCAAGUCGAACGGGUGUCGCAAGACAUCAGUGGCAGACGGGUGAGUAACACGUGGGAACCUUCCUAGGGGUACGGAACAACUCAGGGAAACUUGAGCUAAUACCGUAUACGUCCGUGAGGAGAAAGAUUUAUCGCCCUUAGACGGGCCCGCGUCGGAUUAGCUAGUUGGUGGGGUAACGGCCUACCAAGGCGACGAUCCGUAGCUGAUCUUAGAGGAUGAUCAGCCACACUGGGACUGAGACACGGCCCAGACUCCUACGGGAGGCAGCAGUGGGGAAUCUUGGACAAUGGGCGCAAGCCUGAUCCAGCCAUGCCGCGUGAGUGAAGAAGGUCUUCGGAUUGUAAAGCUCUUUUGCCAGGGACGAUAAUGACGGUACCUGGAGAAUAAGCCCCGGCAAACUUCGUG